CAAAAACGGCUCUAAUAGUAAAACACAUGCCUUAGUGUUUACAAACUAGGGUAUGUCCCUUUAAGUUAAAAUUACUCUGGUAGAACCACUCCUGUAUCGCAUAGUGCUCAAUAAACAACUGUUAUAGUGACGAAGCAAUGUUGCGUAACUAAUCAAUCAAAACACGUGAUCGUACUGAUAAUAACAUACGACUCACGGGACUGUUAUUAUUAAGUUACCAGGGCCGUAGAUAGCAGGGUGGCAAGGAAAAAAAAAAUUCGGAAAGCAUUAUAGAAACUCAGUUGCGCCCCCCCCCCCCCCCCCAACAAAAAAUCCUAGCUAUGGCCCUAGUUACACACCUUUUUGAAAAACAUUCAGUAUAUUAAAAAUGUAAAUUUGUAAUUAUGUUAAUAAAAAAAAUAUUCUACAAAAAAAAAAUGUAAAAGAAAAAAAAAGAACAUAAUUAUGUAUAAAUGUACUGGUACAAUACAACACACUACACAUGCAACUGUUGUACUGCUCGUAUUUUUAACUCCACCCAUCUGCCAAUCAAACAACGAGAAAAUGCUUUCACUUUUAAUUUCUACGUCAAACGAUUAAAAUUAUAUUUAUAUUUUUUGUUAUUUAUCCGGGUUAUUAACAAGUAUACUAGUACACCAGAUUUGAUUGGCUGUAAGAAAGGGACGCAACUCUUUCACAUGUAAGAUACGAAUAAUUUGGUAAUUUUCAUUGGCUAAAAUUCCUCCAGUCAGGCUACUCCCUUCGCACGAGCUCUUGGCGUGUCACCCUCCAUCUUGAAAAGUUCGACAGACUAGAAGGCUAGAGUCGCCGACAUCGAACAAAACUAUUCAUACCAUUAGCGCUUUCGCACUGAUCUGACAAAAGAAUGGGAAGCUCCUGGAAUGAUUACGUUGAGACCUUGAAAGGUGGCGGCUGUCAAUUAGCAGGCAUUUUUGGAAUGGACGGCAAUGUAUGGGGAUCAAACUUCACGCCCACGCCCGACGAAGUCAAGAAUAUAGUUGGUCUAAUGAAAGGCACGUACAAAGUGCCUGACGAGGGACCAGGAAUCACACUGGAGGGCAAAAAAUACACAGUAUUGCAAAUUGAUAAGGAUGACAUGUUGAAACUGAAACGCAAAGCCGACGAAACGGAUGAUUCAAAGAAGUACCUUUUUGUCUUUAACCUGGCGAACACGUCGGUAGUAUGUGGCGCAGCCUGUGGCAGUGCGGAGAGGAGUAUCGCUAACGCCGUCGGGAACCUGCGAGAUUAUUUGAUUAAAAACAAUUUUUGACACUGUGACAGCUUGCAUUAUCUCUUACUCCAUUACGAUUGAUAACUCUGUGAAAGGACGGAACUGUAUAGGCCGAAAUGUGAUACUGCUCACCACUUCCAGUGCUAAUAUAUAAAACUGUUUGUCUUCUUUUUUUUCCCUUUUUUUUUUUUUUUUAAUUCUUUCUUUUUUUUGUCUUUCACUUUUUGGCUCAUCUAGUAGAUAACGGCAAAGAACUGAACUAAUGUAAUGAAGAACAAUUUGCAAAGUUGCACCAUGUGAGAAUUUUGGUGCAUAUAAUAUAUAUUUUGCUAGUGUCUCUUUCAUAUUUGUGCUUUUUGCCUCCCUUUUUUUCCACGGUUUUGAUAGUAAUAUAAUGUAAUUUUGACAUUAAAUCAGAUGUGUAAAUUGUUUUGACAGAAGCCAAGACAGUUUUGCAACCAAACAAAAGGAAAAAGAAAUAACGUCUAUAAAUUUAUAAAGAAUUUAAAUUUGUACACUGCAAGAAAAUGUUUACGUUUUACCCAUUUUCUUAAUUGACAAUUAUAAUUUCUUAACAAAAAUAGUUUUGCAAUAACAUAUCUUGACUUUAUAAGUUUUACAUUUAUAAAUUUGUAAAAAAAAAAAAACACCCAAAAUAAUAAACUUUAUACUAAGGGGAGUGUUUAAUUGUUUUCCUAACAUUACCAAACUUUCUCAUAAUUGAUUUUUAACUCUCUUUUUUUGUAAAUAUGUCGCUUUUGUACCUCAAGUAGAACUUGAAUGGUAUUGGGUAUUGGAGGAAGGGGGGGGGAUUUGAAUCCACACUCAUUUCUGUACAGCUAAAAUAUUAUUGUAACAUCUAGGACACUGUUUGGUCAUAGAUUGCAAACAUAUUGCUAAUUGUUCAUAAUGGUUGAAGGGUUUCAGGUGGUUGGGCCAAAACGAAUCCCAAGUGUUCAUCUCAUUUACGAAGUUCAGAGCGGAUUAACAACAAUACCCAAGACUUAAGGUUAUGGAAGAAUGAGGUCACCCAUUUUUUGCUGAGUUUAAAACGUAGGAAAGGCUUUACCUGUCGUUUUCUUGAUUAGCAUGCUUUCUGUGACCCAUACAUUAUCACACCACCUGCUUUUCAAAACCAAUUUUCAUCUUUAGAAGAAAAACAAAAUCAUGAAUUGUGUUUUAUUAGCUAAAGACAAUAUAUAUUUUAAAAAUUUGAAUUCCGUGUUACUUUUUGUUGCUUCACUAAUUUUUAUUACUUUUUUUUUUUUUUUAACUAGCCCAAAAUCAUGUCUGGAUUGGUAUAUAUAUUGGCCAUUACACACUGAAGUAGGUGUACUGGAUAUUGAUGUUCUUUUGGAAGAUUCAAAGUUUGUCUUCCCUUCAAAAACUAUUUUUGACCCUCAAACUCCCUGAUUGUGUAUGGUCAUGGUGCAGCCAUCAACAUUGUUUCUUUAUGCCAAGCAGUUACUUCUAAUACAUUUAUACCUACUAGAGUGAAUUUUCUUUUACUAGUAUUUGAAGCACAUUGCUGGCGACUAGUUUUGUAUGGCUAAGACCAUGCAAGAGAUUUUUGCUAAAUUAUGUGACCAUUUUCUCCCCCAGUGCCCAUACGCCGACUAAUAACUAAUAAAGAGUUUCAUUUUCUAGUAAUACUGGAAGGUAAACCAACUGAAUGUGACGAGAGUAUUUACUUGAAAAGAAAAUGACAGAAUCGGUAGUAUUAAAUAAUCACGGUUCAAUCUAGUGACCAGGAUGAUUCCAUUGAAAUGGUGAUCUGGUGCCACUAAACUUGCAGGGACCAAGAUGCAGGUAUGCAGCUGCAUACCACCAGAGAGGACAAAUAUUUUUAUUUUAUUAAAAUCUAUUAUGUAAAUGUGUGUAUAUUUAUGCGUUUUAUUCCAUCGCCAAAAAAAAAAGUAUGUGUACCACCAGAAAAUCCCAAGUUAGGUCUCUGACCUUUUCCAUGUUUAAGCAUGCACGCACACACGAAGUGAAACUGGGGGAUUUAAAAUGAUUACAUCUUGGUUGUUUGAUUAGUGCAUGUUUCUGGCUUGAUGGUGUAGCAGUUUCACGACAUGGUUUUUAUGGCCAGUACCAGUCUUCUCUCUUUGGCUUACUGAUUACUUCGUAAAGACCAAGCAUUUCAUGUAUGCCCACAAUAUCAUGUUUGCAUCUCAGUUGGAAGUGAGCAUGAAAUGUAGAUGUAUGUAGAAUUUUUUUUUUUUGCCAGAAUCAGGAGUUCCAUUUCACUAAAAGUGUCAUGGUGACUUACAUUUUCAAGAUUUUUUCUUUGUUUUUUUGUUUCGUUUUUUAUUCUGGAAACCUUGAGAGUAUUUGACUAUGCAAUAGUAAGUGAGGAUAGUAACAAUUCAGAAAGACCUACACAAAUCAUGUAAUCUUGACUGUGAUGGAGUCUUAACCACUUGUCCAGAUACUGCUUCAGAUGUAUCUUCUUUUUUUUUUCUUUUUUUUAAUUGUUUCAUAUUUUGGUAUAUUGAGUCCAACGGUUAUUGAUUGAAGUUGUGCAUUUGCUUCAAAUAUUUAGAUAAAAGAUUAUAUACACGUAAUCACAAGUGGCAUGCUAAACUGGCAGUUAUUUGUUAUGGGAUUUUGGUGAAGAUGUCAUCAGUCUGUCAUGCAAAUUCAUGAAGUAGAUGCAAAUCUUCUAAAGUUGACAAAAAUACGCAAUAAUGGAUGUGGUCAUUUUCCUUGCACCUUGUUAGCAUUUUUUGGGUGUACAGAAUCGAUAAAAUAUGCAACGAUUCUUGCCUUAUAAUUGCCUAGGAAUUGCCUGGUGAAAAUUUACAGAUAAUGUAUUGGUGUAAUACCAUAAUGAUCUGGCACAUUGAAUAGUGGGAAUACCAUCUACAGUGUGUACUAAUGCUCCAGUCUACACACUGAAAAAUUCAGUCAUAUGUGGACAUGCACAUAAAAUUGUAGGCGAAUAGCUCUUUUUAUGAUGUUAUCGAAAACCUGAGAUGACUAACAUUUUAGUGUCUGUUAUUCACUAUUCUGCCAUGUGUCGAAAAUAUUUAUAGACUAUUAAACAGUUGUACCAAAAUCCAGGGUUUGAAAAAUCCACCAGUUGUAGGUCCUGGCUAGUGAUUUUCCUGUCUGGACUAGUGGAAAUUGUCAGCUGUAUUACUAUAAUACAUAAGGCACUAGCUAAGGCAUCAGAGAUGGCUAGCGACUUUGUCAAACACUGCUAAAUCGAUAUUACAAAUUUAUAAUUGUUUUAACUUCGUGUGAUUUUAUGCCAGUGUCAGACUACCAUCUGUCACUACGAAGUUGGCCAAAUUGAUGGUUGCGUUGUAAUUUCCUUCACUUCCGACUUAAGACUCACUUCCGACUUAAGACGGGUAUGCUCAGAUUAACAACUAAUUGGUUGUAGUCGUAUACGACGAGAAUCGGAAUAGGAGAACAAGAGCACUCCGACUAACCAACUGGACAGUCGAAAUAGUAAGAGCGGCGAGUUGGCCAACUGUCGUGACAAUUGGUAGUCUGAGCUUAGGAUUACACGACCCGUUAUUGUUGUCCCAUGCUUCAGACAUUGGGGGAAGGGUGGAAUUGUUGUUGCUUAGCUUUUAUUAUUGUACAAAUCAUUAUUAGCCAUGUCUGUAUUUCUUUGUAUGGGUUUUUUCUUUCUGAUACUCUUAGUAUUUAUAUAAAAAAAAUAAUGGACAUGUAAUUGGCCAAAACGUUUUGAUAAAUUUGCAGGCAUCAAAUCCGAA
This 4962-nucleotide unclassified non-coding RNA is filed under the name Gigantopelta aegis. Its description in RNAcentral is "profilin-like, transcript variant X2". The record is from RNAcentral. Lineage: Eukaryota; Metazoa; Mollusca; Gastropoda; Neomphalida; Peltospiridae.